Molecule: ribosomal RNA, 495 nt
Filed under: uncultured bacterium
Lineage: Bacteria
Description: partial 16S ribosomal RNA
Rfam family: Bacterial small subunit ribosomal RNA
Source: RNAcentral
GGGGGGGGGGGGGGGGGGGGGGGGGGGGUGGGGGGAGGGGGCGGAAGGGGGAGCGGGCGUCUGGGGGGGAGUUGCGAACGGGUGGGUAACGCGUAGGUAACCUGCCUGGUAGCGGGGGAUAACUCUUGGAAACGAUAGCUAAUACCGCAUAAGAGUAGAUGUUGCAUGACAUUUGCUUAAAAGGUGCAAUUGCCUCACUACCAGAUGGACCUGCGUUGUAUUAGCUAGUUGGUGGGGUAACGGCUCACCAAGGCGACGAUACAUAGCCGACCUGAGAGGGUGAUCGGCCACACUGGGACUGAGACACGGCCCAGACUCCUACGGGAGGCAGCAGUAGGGAAUCUUCGGCAAUGGACGGAAGUCUGACCGAGCAACGCCGCGUGAGUGAAGAAGGUUUUCGGAUCGUAAAGCUCUGUUGUAAGAGAAGAACGAGUGUGAGAGUGGAAAGUUCACACUGUGACGGUAUCUUACCAGAAAGGGACGGCUAACUACGUG